This 301-nucleotide ribosomal RNA is filed under the name uncultured bacterium. RNAcentral describes it as "partial 16S ribosomal RNA". It matches the Rfam family "Bacterial small subunit ribosomal RNA", at positions 509 to 807 of the family's 1533-position model. The record is from RNAcentral.
CAGUCGCCACGGUAAUACGAAGGGUGCAAGCGUUAAUCGGAAUUACUGGGCGUAAAGCGUGCGUAGGCGGUUUGUUAAGUCUGUUGUGAAAUCCCCGGGCUCAACCUGGGAAUGGCAAUGGAUACUGGCAAGCUAGAGUGUGUCAGAGGAUGGUGGAAUUCCCGGUGUAGCGGUGAAAUGCGUAGAGAUCGGGAGGAACAUCAGUGGCGAAGGCGGCCAUCUGGGACAACACUGACGCUGAGGCACGAAAGCGUGGGGAGCAAACAGGAUUAGAUACCCCGGUAGUCCCUGUCUCUUAUAC